GAUGAACGCUGGCGGCGUGCUUAACACAUGCAAGUCGAACGAAGCGCUUUACCGGAUUUCUUCGGAAUGAAAGUUUUGUGACUGAGUGGCGGACGGGUGAGUAACGCGUGGGUAACCUGCCUCAUACAGGGGGAUAACAGUUAGAAAUGACUGCUAAUACCGCAUAAGACCACAGGACCGCAUGGCCCAGUGGUAAAAACUCCGGUGGUAUGAGAUGGACCCGCGUCUGAUUAGCUAGUUGGUAAGGUAACGGCUUACCAAGGCGACGAUCAGUAGCCGACCUGAGAGGGUGACCGGCCACAUUGGGACUGAGACACGGCCCAAACUCCUACGGGAGGCAGCAGUGGGGAAUAUUGCACAAUGGGGGAAACCCUGAUGCAGCGACGCCGCGUGAGCGAUGAAGUAUUUCGGUAUGUAAAGCUCUAUCAGCAGGGAAGAAAAUGACCGKUACCCU
RNAcentral lists this ribosomal RNA (454 nucleotides) under uncultured bacterium. RNAcentral's name for it is "bacterial SSU rRNA". It matches the Rfam family "Bacterial small subunit ribosomal RNA", at positions 28 to 464 of the family's 1533-position model. The record is from RNAcentral.